GGAGCUGUUGAGUAGAAGAGUGAAUGCGUUACAGAUAGAAAAACCAGAUGGCGUUGCUGUGCCCGCCAUUCUGAAUGAUUGGAAUUAGUGAGUGAAAUUUCUGUCAGCAAUUUUUCGUGAUUCUGGUGUGUUUCUAAGAAUUUUUCAACUCAGGUAUGUGAGACACUGAAUCAGAGUAAUGAAAUACUGCUGUUUGUCUCUUCCAAUCUUGCCAUUUCUCACUGACAAACUUUUACCUCGCUCCAGCCGAACAUCGUACCAAUUGUCAUGACUCUUUUCUUGAGUUGCUCAUGUAUUCAAGUUCAAAAGGAAUGCCUCCGCAACAGCAAGAUUAACAAUACCAUUGUCAGACUCGACUGAUUUCUUACAGAUGCAGUAUUUGAAGUUUCUGCACUUGGCCAACCAUCAACAACCAUGAAUCCAGUCUUCACAGCUUCCCUUCUUUGCCAGCAACCAUCAAUUAACUUCAGUAUCAUAGCAUGGAAAUCAUCAUUUUCUAUAUGCCAUCUCAACCGUUUGUAGCAUUUAUCGCUCUUCUUAGCCUGACAACAUACAUACUGUUAUGCCAGCGUUGUAUGCCAUCGCCUCAUUAUGAACUGUCGAGUUUUCAUUUGCAUUUAUGUUAAAAAAGGACGCCGUCCAGUAGUUAUCAUGCCGCCGUAUAAGAUUAAAAACAUAAUUCCCACAGCCGAGUGAAAGAGGACAACUUGUAAUCUUUGCGGAUCCAAAACAGCUGACGGCGAUGGCAGUCGGUGCAACGUGGAACUUCUCGUCUGUUUUGGUAUUGUUUGAUGUUUGUGUGUGUGUGUGUGGUGUUGUUUGUGUGAGUUAACCCGUUGGCUGCCACCCAUUUUGCUCCCAUUUUUUUUUAGCUGUAGGGACCGCGCGCACUGUUCUGCCCUAUGGGGUAGGGCAGUGCUCCGCCGCAAGGCGGUUAGGCAAUGCACCAGUAGGGACUUCUCCUUGUUCGAUGCGGUGAUGGUUUCCUGAGGGUGUGCAUUCCCUGUCAAGGUUUCCAUCGCCGUGUCAGCCCGGACUUGUCUUCGGACAAGUCCCACCAGAUCGUGGAUCCUUCAGACGACGAUGCGUAGAUUGUAGACAACAACCUACGGGUUGAAUGGCCUGGCAGCCAACGGGUUAACUCAGUGCAUGUUUGUAUUGUAAUGUAUUUUAUUGUAUAUUUAUGUAAUUGAAAAUAGUGGUGGAAUUGUGGGAUGGAGGUGGGACAAUAAAUGAAAUUCCAUUUAUGUUUGUA
Molecule: long non-coding RNA, 1255 nt
Filed under: Daphnia magna
Lineage: Eukaryota; Metazoa; Arthropoda; Branchiopoda; Diplostraca; Daphniidae
Description: uncharacterized LOC116932235, transcript variant X4
Source: RNAcentral